UAAAGUGCGAUAUGUAGUGCGAUUUGCAUGAAUCUGUGAGUCAUCUAAUCUUUGAACGCAACUUGCGCCUCUCCCGAGGCAUGUCUGUUUGAGUGCCGCAAACCUUUUGCAGCAAUGCGAUCUGACUGUUGUCCCCGGACUCGGUCUAAACGUAGCCAGAUAGCGGCCUAUGUGUAGGCUAGCCCGAGUGCUAAGCAUUCUUGGCGCUGGCCCAUAUGUAGAGCCCGAGAGGGGGUGGGUGGGUAGGUGAGUGGUAGUAAUACCCUUCUCUUCCUCCCUCCCUCCCUCUCUCUCCUACUUAUUUGGCCUCAAAUCAGGCAAGACUACCCGCUGAACUUAA
Molecule: unclassified non-coding RNA, 340 nt
Filed under: uncultured fungus
Lineage: Eukaryota; Fungi
Description: sequence contains ITS1
Rfam family: 5.8S ribosomal RNA (bases 1-98)
Source: RNAcentral